CGGGUUCGUAGCGAUAGCCUCAUGUAGAGUAUUGUGAUUACAACAUUUGCAACAACUUGAUUUAUCGAAGAGUGUCUUGUCGUUUUCGUGAGCCGAAGACGUUAGAUGAGAAAAGUUUGUUUGUCGAAGAAUCAGUGCCAAAAAUACGCGAUAUAACACAAAGUGGGCAAAACGAUGGCAAAACAAUCGGCUUGACAAAACAGCGUGUGUGGAUGUCGCAUAUAUCUGAUGAACAUGAUUCGCAACAGAUCGAAGAUUUAACAGUACCCCUAGCAGAAAUGUCGGUGCCUAGCCUUGCUCAUUGGCUCAGCAAGUUUGCUUGCGAAGCGGCAAACGUUAUCCUCCUAAAAGUGUGUAUUUGAUUAUGUGCGGCUUAAAUCAUUAUUUAGCUGAUAUUAAAGGAGGGGAAGGAUUUAAUAGUUUGGAUAAACGUGACAGCAG
Molecule: non-coding RNA, 441 nt
Organism: Paramuricea clavata
Lineage: Eukaryota; Metazoa; Cnidaria; Anthozoa; Malacalcyonacea; Plexauridae
Source: the annotation of a GenBank genome assembly